UCCUGCUAUGUAUGUAACUAUCAUUCCCCCGCAUUCUGAAAUGUGCCCAGGAUCAGGACAGUAAUCGUGGUCGUCAUCAAAACCCAAGUUUUCUUCACAGCUUGGCAGCAGUUGCCUUCGAUCGCUUGUCCCGUUCAAGACCUCUUCAGAAUGUGCGGCUCUUGCACUGCUCACAUGGAGUAUCGCAAUGUGCUCCUGUGGCAAGCAGUUGCCAGUGGUGAUGUCUCUGACUUCGUUUUGCACAAUCAGUCGCUUGAAUGCUGCGGCGAACUGUUGGGCACUAGGAUUGUCGUUGCACCGUCCAUGGGAUCUGAUAGCACCAAAGAAAAGUUCGAGAUGAUCUUGGCUCACCUUAUGAGAUGCCCAAGAAUCCAGUCUUCCGAUUGGUCUUCAGUAGUGGGAUGCCAUUUGGAUGUUCUCUCAGGCUGGACAGCGCAUUUCUCACGAGCUUCAGCAUAUGACAAGGAUCCGUGAAAACGACAACAACUUCACCUGUUUCAGGGUGCUGGAAACUUGUCUUCAAAUUUUUGGGGUCACUGAAGUUGCACCCAAGCUGUCUAAACAUUGCGAAGUUUGACGGUGCCCCAUCACAAGUUAAGGAGACAACAGUCGCUCCCACUUCAUGGGCAAGGACAAGACUGCGUUGUACUAGGUCAGCCCUUUGUU
This is a long non-coding RNA of Ornithodoros turicata, 666 nucleotides long. RefSeq lists it as uncharacterized. The transcript is spliced from 3 exons. Lineage: Eukaryota; Metazoa; Arthropoda; Arachnida; Ixodida; Argasidae. The record is from RefSeq and is a predicted model, not a curated record.